AGUCAUAUAGUCUAGCAGUAUUUCUCACUCUUCAGUCCUCUCUUUAUGACAGUAGACUUGUUUCGUCAGUGGAGCUCAAGUUAGAGGCAGAUAUGAUACCUGCAGUGGUACUGAUGACCCUGUUGUGGAGCACAGAUCUCCAGGCUCAAAGCGUCAGUCCACCAGCUGAAGACUCAGUCAGACUGGUGAAUGGGACCACUUCCUGUUCUGGGACAGUGGAAGUCUUCUACAGAGGAGAGUGGUUGGGUCUAUGUCCUAGUUGGUGGAGCAUGAUGAGAGGUUAAUGUUGUGUGUAGAGAGCUGGACUGUGGGAAUCCUGUAUCUGAAUCGAGAGGACCUCUGAUUGGAGAUGAAAGAAGAGGAGUCACACUAUA
Molecule: long non-coding RNA, 374 nt
Organism: Oncorhynchus keta (chum salmon)
Lineage: Eukaryota; Metazoa; Chordata; Actinopteri; Salmoniformes; Salmonidae
Exons: 3
Source: RefSeq, a predicted model, not a curated record